RNAcentral lists this unclassified non-coding RNA (1764 nucleotides) under uncultured fungus. RNAcentral's name for it is "sequence contains 18S rRNA gene, ITS1, 5.8S rRNA gene, ITS2, 28S rRNA gene". The stretch from base 772 to 1764 matches the Rfam family "Eukaryotic large subunit ribosomal RNA", at positions 1 to 961 of the family's 3401-position model. The record is from RNAcentral. Lineage: Eukaryota; Fungi.
GGAAGGAUCAUUAACACGUUUCGUUCCGAACGUAUUUGACCCUCUCUUAUUUUCCGUGCACCCAAACGCGUCCGGCCUCCUCAGCCGCUCACUGGGUUUACUCAGUGCUGCCUGUUGGGGCGCCUUCGGGAUCCAAAGGACUGUGGAUAGUGGUUGAGAAAUCGAUUGCUUUCCGCUUUCCUUCCUGAACGGCGUUGCCACCUCACCCAAACCCUUUAAUCUAACUGAUCUGAACUUUUAGUUGACUAUUUUUUCAGGGCGUCAAAAACCCUUUUCAAAUACCAACGACUUGAACAAACAACAACUCUUAACAACGGAUAUCUUGGUUCUCGCAACGAUGAAGAACGCAGCGAAAUGCGAUACGUAAUGCGAAUUGCAGAAUUCCGUGAAUCAUCAAGUUUUUGAACGCAAAUUGCGCCCUCUUUUAUCGGAGGGCACGCUUCUUUGAGUGUCGGUUUAACUUCUUUCUGGCAGCGUGCUGUCUUUGAAAGGCAUUUUUGAGCGUCUCUUCUUCUCUUUCACGAGAGAGCAAGUCGCUUUAAGUAUCUCAGGCUUGAUUGCCUGCCAGUGCACCGCUGGACUUGCGCUCAAAAAGAGUGUGAGUUGAGGUGGCGUGGAUAAUUCACUUCUUCAAUGAGGUGGUCCAAUACGUCAUUUCCUUUUCAGUUUCCGUUCAUUCGGACUGGAGGGAGAUCCUGCGAGACUUUACCGUUUCAAUGGGCUUUGACUUCCUCUUUGCAAGUUUUCCAGUAGCACGACAACCCACCAAACAGACCUCAAAUGAAGCGAGAGGACCCGGUGAAUUUAAGCAUAUUAUUAACCGGAGGAAAAGAAACUAACAAGGAUUCCCCUAGUAACGGCGAGUGAAGCGGGAAGAGCUCAACUUGGAAAUCGGUAGGGCAUGCGUCCGUCCGAAUUGUAGUCUAGAGACGUUACCGCAAGUGCGGGUGGCGGGUCAAAUUUCCCUGGAAAGGGAAGCCAAAGAGGGUGAGAGCCCCGUCUGUGACUCGUUUGCCUGUAUGUGUCGGUUCGUUCUUCGAGUCGAGUUGCCUGGGAUCGCAGCUCUAAAUGGGUGGUAAAUUUCAUCUAAAGCUAAAUAUGGGCGAGAGACCGAUAGCGAACAAGUACCGUGAGGGAAAGAUGAAAAGAACUUUGAAAAGAGAGUUAAAAGUACUUGAAAUUGUUAAGAGGGAAGCACUGGAAGCCAUUCGGGAAGCGUCUCUAGGGACUUAUGUCUUGUUCGAGGCGUUUUUGGGGUCAGCAUCAAUUUUUGGCGCGGGAGAAGGCUUUACUGCUCUACCAGCUGUCGGGGAUUGAGGAUUGAACGUUCAUUCGGUGUUUGCGUUUCGCAGUGAUGCCUCUUGGGGUGUAGAGCAAAGCUCUCCGCUUCUUGCUGUGUCAUUUUCGUUGCGCUCUACCUGUUCGUUCGUGAUGCUGACGAUACGGUUUUCAUUGACCCGUCUUGAAACACGGACCAAGGAGUCUAACAUAUAUGCGAGUAUUUGGGUGGUUUAAACCCUGGUGCGCAAUGAAAGUAAUUUUUGGUAGGAACCCUUCACCGGGCGCACUAUCGACCGAUCACGUAAGUGAUCUUGAGUAAGAGCAUAUCUGUUGGGACCCGAAAGAUGGUGAUCUAUGCCUGAACAGGGUGAAGCCAGGGGAAACUCUGGUGGAGGCUCGUAGCGAUACUGACGUGCAAAUCGUUCGUCUGAUUUGGGUAUAGGGGCGAAAGACUAAUCGAACCAUCUAGUAGCUGGUUCCCUC